Molecule: ribosomal RNA, 492 nt
Filed under: uncultured bacterium
Lineage: Bacteria
Description: partial 16S ribosomal RNA
Rfam family: Bacterial small subunit ribosomal RNA
Source: RNAcentral
AGUGAACGCUGGCGGUAGGCCUAACACAUGCCAGUCGAACGGCAGCACAGUAAGAGCUUGCUCUUACGGGUGGCGAGUGGCGGACGGGUGAGGAAUACAUCGGAAUCUACUUUUUCGUGGGGGAUAACGUAGGGAAACUUACGCUAAUACCGCAUACGACCUACGGGUGAAAGCAGGGGAUCUUCGGCCCUUGCGCGAUUGGAUGAGCCGAUGUCGGAUUAGCUAGUUGGCGGGGUAAAGGCCCACCAAGGCGACGAUCCGUAGCUGGUCUGAGAGGAUGAUCAGCCACACUGGAACUGAGACACGGUCCAGACUCCUACGGGAGGCAGCAGUGGGGAAUAUUGGACAAUGGGCGCAAGCCUGAUCCAGCCAUACCGCGUGGGUGAAGAAGGCCUUCGGGUUGUAAAGCCCUUUUGUUGGGAAAGAAAAGCAGCAGGUUAAUACCCCGCUGUUCUGACGGUACCCAAAGAAUAAGCACCGGCUAACUUCGUG